Cercocebus atys (sooty mangabey) is the source of this 387-nucleotide long non-coding RNA. RefSeq lists it as uncharacterized. The record is from RefSeq and is a predicted model, not a curated record. NCBI's taxonomy places the organism in Eukaryota, Metazoa, Chordata, Mammalia, Primates, Cercopithecidae. The transcript has 3 exons.
UUAUUUUAUAUUUAUAGUAUUUCUGUUUUUGUAUCAAGAGGUCAAAUUUGUUCAUAGUGAGUGAGCUACAAGUUCUUUUGCUGAUUGUAACAUUGCUGUAUUAAUCAACUUAUAUUAGCUAGUCAUAGUCUCUGUUGGCAAGCUUAACCUAACAUACAAUUUUAUAAUUUCCAUUGCAUUCUAAGGCAUUUCACUGAAAGCAGAAGCUGUCGCAGUCAAGAAAGAAUCAGAAGAUCCUAAUUACUAUCACUAUAAUAUGCAAGGAAGCCACUCUUCCUCCACAAGCAAUGAAGUAAUAGAAAUGGAAUUACCAAUGGAAGAUUCCACUCCUCUGGUGCCUUCAGAAGAACCAAAUGAGGACCUGAAGCCGAGGUGAAAUCGAAGUUA